CACUUGUAAGAUUUAUAGCCAAGAUCACAAUCUUUUAAUUCUUUGAUGGAAUACAAUCACUGUGCGAAGAUUGUGAUCUGGUUGGUACACGUCAACUCGCCCAUGUUAGCCCUUGGCGGCAUCACCCCACAUGAAAAGGUUGGGAAGCAUGUGAUACGGCUGCAUGGCCUCUGCGGUUUCCUCCUCUCCUUUUGUGCUCAUAUCCAGUUGGUCCAACUUUGGCACGUGUGAUGCCUCCACCAAUUCACCAAGUCAACUGCAAUCCAGUCCUCUUGGGCUAUGAUGGCCCAUUUACACUGUUCCAAACUCCUGUGUCCAUGGCCGAGUUGGGAGCAAUUUUUGGACCCUAAGCUUUGGUGGUUCUCUUGUAAUCUUUUUAUCUUUUAAUUCAAUCAUCUACUAUCUUGGUUUCCAUCUACAAAUAGAUUGGAUUGAGUUAGAAAUCUGAAUUAUU
RNAcentral lists this long non-coding RNA (454 nucleotides) under Elaeis guineensis (African oil palm). RNAcentral describes it as "long non-coding RNA (EGUI_LNC008975)". The record is from RNAcentral. Lineage: Eukaryota; Viridiplantae; Streptophyta; Magnoliopsida; Arecales; Arecaceae.